Molecule: long non-coding RNA, 3759 nt
Organism: Nyctereutes procyonoides (raccoon dog)
Lineage: Eukaryota; Metazoa; Chordata; Mammalia; Carnivora; Canidae
Exons: 3
Source: RefSeq, a predicted model, not a curated record
CAUGAGCGGAGGCAGGGGCAGAGGGCGAGGGAGAGAGCGAGAACCCCAAGCCGACUGCGCACGGAGCCCACCACGGGGCUCCAUCCCACAAGCCCAGGAUCGUGGCCCGAGCUGAAAUCCAGAGUCGGAAGCCCAGCCCCCUGAGCCCCCCGGGCGCCCCCAUUCCUCAGCCGCUUUAACCAGUGCCCUCUCUGCCGACCUCACAGUUUCUCAUAAACAGUGCUGUGGGAUUUUAUUUAUUCAUGAGAGACAGAGAGGGAGAGACACAGGCAAAGGGAGAAGCAGGCUCCAUGCAGGAAACCCAAGGCGGGACUCGAUCCCAGGACCCCGGGAUCAUGCCUUGAGCCGAGGGGAGACACUCAACUGAAACCAGAAGCCAUGGCGAGAGGCAACCCCACCAUCAUCUCCGAAUUCCUCUUCAUGGGACUGUCAGAAGUGCCAGAGCAUCAGGCCUUCCUCCUCAGGCUGUUCUUAUCAACGUACCUGGUCACCAUGGUGAGGAAUCUGCUCAUCAUGCUGGUCAUCAGUUCUUCCAAACACCAGCCUCCACACCCGCCAUGAAUUCUUCAUAGCCAAGCGGUCCUGCAUCAACAUCUGCUUUAGCUCUGCCACUAGAUAAAAAAUGCUGGUCAAAGAGCUGGUCAAAAUAAUAGUCAUUAGCCAAAUGACAAGCUUCAAUAUUUCAUUCAUAGGAAAUAUUGAAAAUAUAUGAACCAAGCAUUUAACUCAAGAAAGUAGGAAAACAACAGCGUCAACACAAAUGCAAAAGAAAGAAGGGGGAAAAACUAACAACAAUAAAAGCAGUAAGCGUUCUGAACCCAUGUAGAAUGGGCCAGUGGAAGCAAGUGCUGGUUCUUUGAAAAGACCCACAGUACAGAAGUGACCGCGUGGAAAUUUGGCAGGUAGACCAUAAAAGGCUCUCCAGCUUCACUUGCUUUCUCCUAGCUAACUCUCACCAGGGAAGCUCCUCAGGAGAGGAGAUCCAGGUGGUAGGAAACUGAAGCCGCCAGCCAACAACCAUGUGAGUGGCUUCUGUGAGCCACUUCGGAAGCAGAUUUGCUAGACCAGCCCAGCCCUCAGGUGACUGUAGCACUGACCGACAACUUCACUGUGACCUCACGAAAGACCCUGUGCUAACUACCCCGGCUACGCCACUCCUGGAACCCUGACUCUCAGAAACAACAAAUGUCUGUUCCUUUAAGCUACUAACGUUUGGAGUAAUUUGCUAUGCAGCAACAGACAACGAUACUCGUAAAGAAGACUAUUCCUGUUAGCCAAAGGGAUAAUAUCCUACGUUAGAUUCAACAAACACUGCUACACACUCCUCCACAGAUGUAGUGCCUUUGCAUGCCCACAAUGUGUGAAAGUGCCUCUAUCUCCACAGUCUUGCCACCGCAGUAAACUGUCAAGACUUGAAUUUUGGCAAUCCAGUAGGUGGGAACUGGUAUCUCAAUGUAUUUUAGAUUUAUAUUUCUUUUUUUAAAAGAUUUUAUUUAUUUACUCAUGAGAGACAGAGAGAGACAGCAAGAGAGGCAGAGACACAGGCAGAGGGAGAAGCAGGCUCCAUGCAGGGAGCCCGACUUGAGACUCGAUCCCGGGACCCCAGGUACACAUCCCCAGGCCGAAGGCAGACCCUAAACGGCUGAGCCACUCAGGGAUCCCAGCUUUAUAUUUCUGUUAUGAUUCAGCCUGAACACUUUUUUAUGUUUUUUAAUAGAUUUUAUUUAUUUAUUCAUGAGACACACACACAGGCAGAGACACAGGCAGAGGGAGAAGCAGGCUCCAUGCAGGGAGCCCGACAUGGGACUCAACCCCGGGUCUCCAGGAUCACACCCCGGGCUGAAGGCGGCGCUAAACUGCUGAGCCACCCAGGCUGCCCACUGUUUUAUAUGUUUAAGGACCAUUUGCAUUUCCUUUUCUGUGAACCAUCUGCUAAUAUCCCUUUGCCCAUUUUUUUUUAUUUCCUAUCAAUAUUUAGCAGAUUUUUUUUUUAUAUGUUAGGGAUGUUAGCUCUUUGGAAGUGACAUACAUUGCAAAAGUGUUUUUCCUAUUUGUUAUUUCUCUCUCUCUCUCUCUCUCUCUCUCUUUUUUUUUUCUUCUGGAGUGAUAUUUUGACAUGCAGACUAUUAGUAUCAUGAAAUUGAUUGGUCCUAACUUUAUCGAGGAUAUUCUUUUUAUUUCUUAACAGAAGACUUUAUUUAUUUGAGAGAUAUUUAUUUUUUUAAUUAAUUAAUUAUUUAUUAAUUAAUUAUUUAUUUAUUUAUGAGAGAGAGAGAGAGAGAGACAGAGACAGACAGACAGAGACAUAGGCAGAGGGAGAAGCAGGCUCCAUGCACCGAGAGCCCGACGUGGGAUUCGAUCCCAGGUCUCCAGGAUUGCGCCCUGGGCCAAAGGCAGGUGCUAAACCGCUGCGCCACCCACGGAUCCCCUUGAGAGAUAUUUAUAGAGAGAACACAAUCAGAGGGAAGGAGCAGACUGAGAAGGAGAAGCCUACUCCCUGCUGAGCAGGGAGCCUGAUUUGGGGCUCAAUCUGGGACCCUGAGAUCAUGACCUGAGGCCUAAGACAGAUGAUUAAUUGAGCCACUGAGGUGCCCCUGGGAUAUUGUGUUUAAAAUUAUUUAUUUAUUUAUUUAUUUAUUUAUUUAUUUAUUUAUUUAUGAGCGCGCGCGCGAGAGAGAGAGAGAGACAGAGGGAGAGACACAGGCAGAGGGAGAAGCAGGCUCCAUGCAGGGAGCCCGACAUGGGACUCCAUCCCAGGUCUCCAGGAUCACACCCUGGGCCGAAGGUGGAGCUAAGCCAUGGAGCCACUCGGGCUGCCCGGGAUAUUCUUUUGAAAUGUAAAUAAUUCUAACGUUUAUCUGGAACAACAUGAAAAAGUAACCAGGAACCUGCUGAAAAAGGACCCUAAUGACCAGAGAAUAGCUAGUCGACCCUCAAAAUGCCUACCAAUGCUAAAUGUAGUGAGAACAUGCUGUUGUGUUGUAUGUUUACACUAACACAGAGAAUAUUCCAGGAUGAUUUAGACCUGGAUGGAUACAGGAUGUUUUCCAAAAUCCUGAGGAAAAAUAAUUAUCAUGGGCAGAGGAGCUAAGAGCCCAGUGAUGCCGAGAGGACCACCAGAAGCUUCACACAGAUGUUUCAGUCAUUUUCUCCAAAUGCCCUGAAAAUGACAAGAUGUGGCUGAGGAAGACACAGACACUCUCCCCUAAAUGGAAAACAAAACAGCCCAAGGAUCCUAAUCAUCUCAAGAGUCUUUCGGGCAUUCCCUUCCUUUAUUAUAAGCAUUCUACUCUAGUCAAGGAGAACAUCUUUCUCUUUCCAUGGAAGAAGCUACAAAGAAACUGGGAGAAAUGAAUAGAUGAUGAGGUUAUUCGUAUUGGAAAAAAUCUAGGGUGGAUAUUUGUUGCAUAAGCAGCUAAGAGAAACCAGAUGUAAAAAAGAGAAAGAAAGAAAAUGGACUUCCAGGUUCUAGUUCAGCAUAUAAGAGAUUGGAAGUUGUCACUCUGCCCUAACAAUCAGCCAAAAGCCGAACAAACAAAAUAAAAAACCCUUGCUAGAAGUGUCAGAGAACCGGGGUUAUGGGGCAAAUCGCUGCCCCCCAAAUGGAAGAGACACAUAGAUAAAGAGAAUCACAACUGGAGUGCCUGGGUGGCUCAGUUGGUGAAGUCUCUGCCUUCCGCUUGGGUCUCGAUCCCAGUGUCCUGGGAUCAAGCCCUGCAUCGGGCUCCCUGCUUGGUGGGGAACCUGCCUCUUCCUCCA